Molecule: ribosomal RNA, 253 nt
Filed under: uncultured bacterium
Lineage: Bacteria
Description: partial 16S ribosomal RNA
Rfam family: Bacterial small subunit ribosomal RNA
Source: RNAcentral
CACGAACCGGACAAACGUUAUUCGGAAUUAUUGGGCUUAAAGGGUGCGUAGGCGGUGCUGUAAGUCGGGUGUGAAAGCCCACGGCUCAACCGUGGAACUGCGCCCGAUACUGCAGUGCUAGAGGGAGACAGAGGUAAGCGGAACUGAUGGUGGAGCGGUGAAAUGCGUUGAGAUCAUCAGGAACACCAGUGGCGAAAGCGGCUUACUGGGUCUCUGCUGACGCUGAGGCACGAAAGAUAGGGUAGCGAACGGG